GUGCUCGCUUCAGCAACACAUAUACUAAAAUUGGAACGAUACAGAGAAGAUUAGCAUGGCCCUGUGCAAAGGUAACACAUAAAUACGUGAAGCAUUUCAGAUUAUU
Molecule: small nuclear RNA, 106 nt
Organism: Otolemur garnettii (small-eared galago)
Lineage: Eukaryota; Metazoa; Chordata; Mammalia; Primates; Galagidae
Source: Ensembl